UGAUCAGUGUGAGAGGAAAAGGAGAGUAGG
This 30-nucleotide non-coding RNA is filed under the name Homo sapiens (human). The record is from RNAcentral. Lineage: Eukaryota; Metazoa; Chordata; Mammalia; Primates; Hominidae.